AUGUCUCUCUAUCUUCGAAAUCACCGCAUAAACCUUGCAACACCACCUCUCCGCCAUCAUCGUGCGAUCACAGUUCCGUUGUGCGAUCACCAUACUCUCUUCACCGUUCCGCCAACAACUUCAACACUCGUCACCAUCAGUGCAUCUUCCGGACAACCUUGCUCCAUCACAAGCUCAUCCGCUUCCCUCUGUUUACAACUUCCGACUCUGCUCAGCAACAUCCUCCGCUUCAUCAAUCGCGUUCUCCUCCCUAACCACCGUCCGCACCAUCUGCUUCAGCCAGCGGCUCACCUCCAUGCGGUAGUCUCUUCAUCAUCUCACCAACAACCGAAUCCCGGUUUCAAAACGGUUUGGGUUUCUCUCUGA
This is a non-coding RNA of Vicia faba (fava bean), 366 nucleotides long. Lineage: Eukaryota; Viridiplantae; Streptophyta; Magnoliopsida; Fabales; Fabaceae. The record is from the annotation of a GenBank genome assembly.